This 492-nucleotide ribosomal RNA is filed under the name uncultured bacterium. RNAcentral's name for it is "partial 16S ribosomal RNA". It matches the Rfam family "Bacterial small subunit ribosomal RNA", at positions 29 to 507 of the family's 1533-position model. The record is from RNAcentral.
AAUGAACGCUGGCGGUAGGCCUAACACAUGCGAGUCGAACGGCAGCACAGUAAGAGCUUGCUCUUACGGGUGGCGAGUGGCGGACGGGUGAGGAAUACAUCGGAAUCUACUUUUUCGUGGGGGAUAACGUAGGGAAACUUACGCUAAUACCGCAUACGACCUACGGGUGAAAGCAGGGGAUCUUCGGACCUUGCGCGAUUGAUUGAGCCGAUGUCGGAUUAGCUAGUUGGCGGGGUAAAGGCCCACCAAGGCGACGAUCCGUAGCUGGUCUGAGAGGAUGAUCAGCCACACUGGAACUGAGACACGGUCCAGACUCCUACGGGAGGCAGCAGUGGGGAAUCUUCGGCAAUGGGCGCAAGCCUGAUCCAGCCAUACCGCGUGGGUGAAGAAGGCCUUCGGGUUGUAAAGCCCUUUUGUUGGGAAAGAAAAGCAGCAGGUUAAUCCCCCGCUGUUCUGACGGUACCCAAACAAUAAGCACCGGCUAACUUCGUG